Molecule: ribosomal RNA, 234 nt
Filed under: uncultured bacterium
Lineage: Bacteria
Description: partial 16S ribosomal RNA
Rfam family: Bacterial small subunit ribosomal RNA
Source: RNAcentral
UGAGCAAUCUGCCCUUCUCUUCGGAAUAAGCGUGGGAAACCGCGUCUAAUGCCGAAUACGACCUCCUUUCGCAUGAUCGGAGGUGGAAAGCUCCGGCGGAGAAGGAUGAGCUCGCGGCCUAUCAGCUAGUUGGUGUGGGUAAUGGCCCACCAAGGCGACGACGGGUAGCCGGCCUGAGAGGGUGACCGGCCACACUGGGACUGAGACACGGCCCAGACUCCGUACGGGAGGCAG